UACACUCCUACGGGAGGCAGCAGUGGGGAAUAUUGCACAAUGGGCGCAAGCCUGAUGCAGCCAUGCCGCGUGUAUGAAGAAGGCCUUCGGGUUGUAAAGUACUUUCAGCGGGGAGGAAGGCGAUAAGGUUAAUAACCUUGUCGAGUGACGUUACCCGCAGAAGAAGCACCGGCUAACUCCGUGCCAGCAGCCGCGGUAAUACGGAGGGUGCAAGCGUUAAUCGGAAUUACUGGGCGUAAAGCGCACGCAGGCGGUCUGUCAAGUCGGAUGUGAAAUCCCCGGGCUCAACCUGGGAACUGCAUUCGAAACUGGCAGGCUAGAGUCUUGUAGAGGGGGGUAGAAUUCCAGGUGUAGCGGUGAAAUGCGUAGAGAUCUGGAGGAAUACCGGUGGCGAAGGCGGCCCCCUGGACAAAGACUGACGCUCAGGUGCGAAAGCGUGGGGAGCAAACAGGAUUAGAUACCCGUGUAGUCCCAU
RNAcentral lists this ribosomal RNA (475 nucleotides) under uncultured organism. RNAcentral's name for it is "partial 16S ribosomal RNA". It matches the Rfam family "Bacterial small subunit ribosomal RNA", at positions 332 to 798 of the family's 1533-position model. The record is from RNAcentral.